UACGAAGGGGGCUAGCGUUGUUCGGAAUUACUGGGCGUAAAGGGCGCGUAGGCGGUGUGUCAAGUCAGGCGUGAAAGCCCCGGGCUCAACCUGGGAACCGCGCUUGAGACUGGCACGCUCGAGUUCGGGAGAGGAUGGUGGAAUUCCCAGUGUAGAGGUGAAAUUCGUAGAUAUUGGGAAGAACACCGAUGGCGAAGGCAGCCUUCUGGGCCAACACUGACGCUCAUGCACGAAAGCGUGGGGAGCAAACAGG
RNAcentral lists this ribosomal RNA (253 nucleotides) under uncultured bacterium. RNAcentral describes it as "partial 16S ribosomal RNA". It matches the Rfam family "Bacterial small subunit ribosomal RNA", at positions 524 to 776 of the family's 1533-position model. The record is from RNAcentral.